AUGGCGCCUGGAGGGAGAGCGAGCAGACGAAGAUGGCGCCCGCUAGUCUCCAGGGUGGGGCAAAAGUGGGGACAGGGCCCCACAGGGCGUUUCAAAGCCCACGCCUGCCCCCCUGUCCAAGGCUCCGUGACAAGCAAAAAGCGAGCGAGCCGUUCCCAGGCACAGUCCGGCGUCGUUCCAUCGGCUGCCUCCGUGCUGGACCCUGAGGCGGAGAGGAAAAAGCAUGGGAAAGAGCAGAGGGAGAAGGAGAGAGAGAAUCCUGAACAGAUUCCUUGAAAGAGUGGAAGCAAUCACAGAGGGAGAGCUAUCACAGAGAAGAAGGAGAAGCAGACUCACCACCCAGCAGAAAGCCUGAUGUGGGGCUCCAUCCCAGGACUCCGAGACCACGGCCCAAGCCAAAGGCAGACACUCAACCAGCUGAGCCAUCCAGGCACCCCAAAUGUAGGAAUUCUUAAAUUCUCUUUUGCAUGAUUCACAUCAACAUAGAAAGCAAAUAUGUAUUAUUUUAUAGUUGUAUAGGCUGCUUAAUCAAUUUUGACCAAAUUUAAUUUUGACCAAAUUUCAGUAGGAGUUGAAUUCUCUACUUACUAUUUUACACAUAUGAGGACUGGGAGAAUAUCCCAUAAACUAGUUCUGGCUCUUUACUUAUAAAGCUUUACUUUUUUUCUUCCAUGAAAGAAAUUACAUCCCCCUAAUACUAAAGGACAAGUUAGUAUUAGAAUUUGACCACUGACUUGUUCAAAAUCCCAGGUGAGCUGGUGGAGUAAAAGUAAGAAUACUCAGGGUAGUCAUUCUAACCCUCAGAUAGCUAGAAGGAAAAACAACAACAACAACAACAACAACUAUAUGUAAAAGCAACAUUGAAAUACAAAAUAGCUAACUAAACUGAAACCAAGUGUAUAGCCAUCUAAAAUUUCUUUUUAGCUAGAUCCACCAAAAUGUCAAUCCAAGACCACCUGACAUAAAGGAAGGUGUGAUGGGGGGAAUCAGAAUGGAAACAGAGAGCAGUUGUAACUGAUUAUGAUUAAAAUCAUUUAAUUUGGCAAAUUUUCCAAAAGCAUAUGACCAUGGGAACAUACCACUUGAGCACCUUCCAUGGAAGGGGUACACAUGUGUGUAGGAUGUGGAAGUGUAAUCUUUAGCAUUAACUUCAUGGUGAAUCUUCCUCCAGUGCAGUGGUGAAAAGAACAAGAUUUGGGGUCAGACACGCCAAGGUUUUAAUCCCUUUCUAGUUGGGUGGCAUUCACCAAGUCCCUGAGCCAAUCUAAGCCUCAAUGUCCUCAUCUGGAAAUGGAUAUGUUUAAAACUUGCCUUAUAUGACUAAUAUGUUUAAAUGGAAAUUUAUGUAUAUAAAUUUCAUAUUCUAAGAACUCAACAAUUGGUAGCUAUGAUUAACUCAAUAAUGGAUAGCUAUUUAUUGGAUUAAAUGUUCAGAAUUUGUCACCCUUACAAGAUAACCAAACACUAAAGUAAACCUUAGGUUUCUAAUAUCUGUCAUCCUACAUCUACAUCCUACAUCCUACAUCUAUCAAUAAAUAAUUGGCCAAAUUAUUCCCUAUUCAAGAACAUGCUUAUCCUUUUCUAAUUUUCUAAUUGAAAGCCAAUGUAUCUUUCCAGAUCCAACUGAGAUCUCACCUGUUCUUUCCAGUUCUUCAGCUUUUUCAGCUACUUGCUGCUGAAACUGUUCUUGAAGAUUAUGGUGGCACUGUCCAAUAGCAAUGUAAUGUGGGCCACAUCUGCAAAUUUAAGUUUUAUAUAGCUAGACUAAAAAAACUAAAAAGAAUUAAAACCAGUUGAAAUUAAUUUUGAUAGUAUUUUUAGUUGGGUACCUGGGUGGCUCAGUCAUUAAGCAUCUACCUUUGGCUCAGGUCAUGGUUCUGGGGUCCUGGGAUUGAGCCCCACAUUGGGCUCACUGCUCGGCAGGAAACCUGUUUCUCCCUCUCCCACUCCCCCUGCUUGUGUUCCCUCUCUUGCUGUGUCUCUCUCUGUCAAAUGAAUAAAUAAAAUUUAAAAAAAAAGAAAUUUAAAAAAUAAUAGUGAUAUUUUUACCUUAUCCAACAUGUCCAAAAUAGUAUUUCAACAUGUAAUCAAUAUUCUAAAAUUAUUAAUGAGAUAUUUUACAUUCUCUUUGUCAUAUUAUGUAUUCAAAAUCCAGUGUAUAUUUUGCUUUCAUUAGCAUUUUCAAUUCACAAUAACCACAUUUCAAGUACCUGAUAGCCUCAUGUGUCUAAUACCUGCCAUAUUGGAUUUCAUAUGUGUAUACUAUGAGAAGUUGGUACCAUCCUAUUUAAUAUGCCAUUAUGUGUCCUGGUAUUUCCUAUGUGGCAGUCCUUUCCCAGCCAGUUACUAGAUUUUUUGAAGAACUAUAGAGUUCUCUAACUCCGGGAUGCAGUGCCCAAAUGCAGUGGUCAUUGAGUAAAGGUUUACUGUUAAGCGGUUUAGAUGUAUUUAGAAAUCCUAGAAGGGAAAAUGCCUAGACAAUGUGAUUUCCUUCUAUUUGUGCUACUUUUAUCACUCUGUGUUGUGUAUCCCAGGAUGUAAAUUCUGAAUAUGUGGAAUAAUGCCAUUUGCAGACUGGUAUUAAUAAAUCUGCUCUGGCACUACUGUGAAUAAUGCAAGAGACAAAAACAAGAGGGAAUAUUGCAUGUGGUAAUACUUCUCUUACGGAAUAAACAAUAAGAUUAAAGUGCUUCUAGGUAUGAAUGAAGAGCAAUAUAAUCUCACCACCAUACUUAAAAAUGUUUACUUACCAAUAAACAAAAAAUGGAAGUUCAGGGGGCACCUGGAUGGCUCAGUUGGUUAAGUGUCUGACUUUUGGUUUCAGCUCUGGUCAUGAUCUCAGGGUCCUGAGAGGGAGUCUCAUGUCCAGCUCGAAGUCUGCUUGAGUUUCUCUCUCUCCCUCACCCUCUGCCCUUCCCCUGCUCGAGCUCUCACCACCCCCCCAAUAAAUAAAUAAAAUAUUUUUAAAAUAGUAGUUGACUUUGAUUUACAGCUCUGUUGUGGAAAUAGAUGUUGCUUUCAAGAUACAACCAGGGAACUGAAACCCCAUGGCAUACCACAUCUAGAGAGCUACACGAUCCUCAGUUCUUUUUACAGACCUUUGAAACUAUGACGUAGUAAAGAAUUUGUUACUUUUCUCGCCUGGACAUUUUUAAAAAUUUGGAUAAGAAUGAAAUCAUACAGCACAAAUAGAGAAGUUUUCGGGCCAUAUAAACCCACAUUGCAAUAAUACUGUAGUUUCAAGUGGAAGGUGGAUUUCUAAACAUAGUCUGUUUCUUACAGGUAUGUAAGAAAACACAGUUUAUAAUAUGGAAAAUUAUUCUAAGUUACGAUGAAAGGAGCAGAGAUUUUAAAAGCUAUGACUCACUCAGUGAAUCACUGAAAAUCCUGGAAAAGGGUAUUUAGUCAUUUUAUGGUUGAAUUAUCUAAAAAAACAACAACCAAAAACCUUAAAACAUAUCCUGAUCAUCAAGAUGACAAGAGUCAGUACUUUUCAGAUUAUGUUACCUUAUUUGACUAAAAUGUGUUUUUCUAUGUAUAAUAAAGGUAAAGCAAAGUAGAACAUUCCAAAAAAUUUACAUCCACUUUCAUGUUGAAAAGCUGCCUCUUAAACAUAUCCCACAAAAUAUGUUCACAGACACAACUAAAGACAACUUUAAUCCCUUCUCUGCAUUGGAGCAUUUUCUUUAAUUUUCUAAUUUUCAGCUUUCCUGCCAAAAUUCUAACAAAAAGUUUGAGCAGAUUUUAUUUUCUUCAUCAAUCCUUUUUGAACAGAUACGUCUUCUUUCUCUGAAUUCCCUUAGCAAGUUCUGUGUGGACCCAAACUUGGUAUUUACUGUAAUCUUCUAAUCAUUGUGGUUCUUUUUUCACCUGCCUGUAUCUGAGCUCUACAGUAUGAUUAUAAGCUUCUUGAAGUCAUAGGCCAUGUCUUGUUCAUCUCGCGUAGGUCUCAGGAGAGCCUUGGAUAGAAGAAACAUUCAAUAAAUGUGCUGGAAAUCAUGAUGACUCUGGUCAUGAUUUACAGGACUGUCACAGCAGACCAAUGACAUAUCAUAGCAA
Molecule: long non-coding RNA, 4059 nt
Filed under: Mustela putorius furo (domestic ferret)
Lineage: Eukaryota; Metazoa; Chordata; Mammalia; Carnivora; Mustelidae
Description: lncRNA (ENSMPUG00000031112.1)
Source: RNAcentral